UACGAAGGGGGCUAGCGUUGUUCGGAAUUACUGGGCGUAAAGCGUGCGCAGGCGGCUUCUCAAGUCAGGGGUGAAAGCCCAGAGCUUAACUCUGGAAUUGCCUUUGAGACUGAGAGGCUUGAGUACGGGAGAGGUGAGUGGAAUUCCCAGUGUAGAGGUGAAAUUCGUAGAUAUUAGGAAGAACACCAGUGGCGAAGGCGGCUCACUGGCUCGGUACUGACGCUGAGGCGCGAAAGCGUGGGGAGCAAACAGG
RNAcentral lists this ribosomal RNA (253 nucleotides) under uncultured bacterium. Its description in RNAcentral is "partial 16S ribosomal RNA". It matches the Rfam family "Bacterial small subunit ribosomal RNA", at positions 524 to 776 of the family's 1533-position model. The record is from RNAcentral.